This 1917-nucleotide ribosomal RNA is filed under the name Triticum aestivum (bread wheat). RNAcentral's name for it is "partial small subunit ribosomal RNA". Lineage: Eukaryota; Viridiplantae; Streptophyta; Magnoliopsida; Poales; Poaceae. The record is from RNAcentral.
AUGGAAGUGGCUUUAGCUAGCGCUGCCUUAAGCAUGAGCUUAAAACUGGCUGCAUCGCCGGCCUUGAAGAAUCUCCUAGCUAAUGCGUCAACGUACCUUGGAGUAGACAUGGCAUGUGAACUCCAUGAACUGGAGACCACUAUCUUGCCGCAGUUCGAGUUGAUGAUUGAAGCAGCAAACAAGGGAAACCACAGGCCCAAGUUGGACAAAUGGCUUCAGGAACUCAAAGAAGCAUUCUACCUGGCUGAAGAGUUGCUGGAAGAGCAUGAGUACAACCUCCUCAAACGCAAAUCAAAGGGGAAGGAUUCCCUGCCGGCCGAUGCCUCCUUCAUCAGCAAAACUUUGAUGAAGCCUCUCCAUGCUGCAUCAAGCAGGCUAUCAAAUCUGAGCUCUGAGAACAGGAAGCUACUUCGCCAGCUAAAUGAACUGAAGGCUACCCUGGCAAAAGCCAAAGUCUUCCAUGAACUGCUACCAGCAGGUUAUAAUGUAGAGAGCUCCACCAUACCAACAGCUAUUGUUCCUGAUACCACAUCACUAGCUCCUUUGAAAGUGAUUGGUCAUGACAAGGACUGUGACCAUAUAAUAAAUUGUCUUACCAAGAUAGCCGCUACAGCUAAGUCUAGUACAACUAUGUACUCGGGUUUGGCCAUUGUUGGAGCUGGAGGCAUGGGGAAGUCUACACUAGCACAACUUGUCUACAGUGACAAAAGGGUAAAAGAAUGUUUUGAUGUGAGAAUGUGGCUAAGCAUCUCACGCAAACUUGAUGUGCGCCGUCAUACACGUGAGAUCAUCGAGUCUGCCUCUCAGGGGGGAUGCCCACAUAUUGAUAACCUUGAUACUCUACAGCGUAAGUUGAUCGACAUACGGCAAGAAUCAAAGAAAUUUCUACUCGUGUUGGAUGAUGUUUGGUUUGAACCUGGCAGUGAGAGGGAAUGGGACCAACUGUUAGCUCCUCUAGUUUCUCGGCGGGAUACAUUUCCAGCUGCUCUUUGCUGUGAAGAAGUGUGCCCAUUGAAAAACAUGGAAGAUGCUCAGUUCUUGGCACUCUUCAAACACCAUGCAUUCUCUGGGCCAAAUAUUGGGAAUCCACAGCUGCGUAGAAGGUUGGAAGAUUUUUCAGAGAAAAUUGCCCCUCUGCAGCGAGCCAUGUCUGCAGGUCGCUCUCAGCACACGGCUACCUCGAGCAUGCGGCGCCGGCAGGAGGCCGAGCGCGCCGUGGCAGAGGAGCGUGAGCGAGCGGCUAUAGCAGCAGCUGCUGCGGCGGCAAGGGUGUCGAGGCUGGCUGCAGCGGAGCUGGCAGCAGCCAGAGCGGAGGUAGAAGCAGCCAGGGCAGAGGUAGAAGCAGCAGCAGCAGCAGAAGCAGCCCGUGAGGCUACGGCGGAUGCCAAGGCACUCCGCGGCGGCCCCGGCAGCUCCAGCAGCUCCGCGCCUGCGGACGACGGCGCCGACGCAGAUCGCGCCAAAGUGGCGCAGGAGCGGACGGCGCAGUGGGCAGCCGAGCACGCCCGCGCUCCAGGUGGAGGCGCGCACCGCGACGGCGGCUACAACGACCAGGACCGCGGCCUCUACGAGGUCCGGACUGUGGUCAGGGAUGUUGGUCCCACCUUGGUGACAGGAAGAAGGGGGAGCCUUCUUCCACGACGAGCGGCCGCAAGCGUGGAAAGCAGCGUAAGACACGAAGAGGCCCCCCGGGCAGGGCACAAGGACGUGCCGAAGGUGACGCCCGCGGAGGCGCCAAGGACGGCGCCGCUGGCAAGCCCAAGCAGGCACAAGACAAUAGUUGCCACAACUAUGGCCGGUUUGGCCAUUGGGCCAAUGAGUGUCGGCAACCACGACAAGGCCAGGCUCACAUCGCACAGGCGAAGGAGGAAGAGACGGCUCUGUUCAUGGCGCAUGCAAGCAUUGAGCUAUCCUUAG